Molecule: ribosomal RNA, 406 nt
Filed under: uncultured bacterium
Lineage: Bacteria
Description: partial 16S ribosomal RNA
Rfam family: Bacterial small subunit ribosomal RNA
Source: RNAcentral
AUUGAACGCUGGCGGCAGGCUUAACACAUGCAAGUCGAGCGAGCGGCGGACGGGUGAGUAAUGUCGGGGAAAGUGCCUGAUGGAGGGGGAUAAAUACUGGAAACGGUAGCUAAUACCGCAUAACAUAAGAUGGGCCCAGAUGGGAUUAGCUAGUAGGGGGGGGAAUGGCUCACCUAGGCGACGAUCCCUAGCUGGUCUGAUAGGAUGACCAGCCACACUGGAACUUAGACACGGUCCAGACUCCUACGGGAGGCAGCAGUGGGGAAUAUUGCACAAUGGGCGCAAGCCUGAUGCAGCCAUGCCGCGUGUGUGAAGAAGGCCUUCGGGUUGUAAAGCACUUUCAGCGAGGAGGCGUUACUCGCAGAAGAAGCACCGGCUAACUCCGUGCCAGCAGCCGCGGUAAUUC